Molecule: non-coding RNA, 30 nt
Filed under: Rattus norvegicus (Norway rat)
Lineage: Eukaryota; Metazoa; Chordata; Mammalia; Rodentia; Muridae
Source: RNAcentral
UGAUAUCACAUACAGAAAAACAGAAUUUCA